This 1857-nucleotide long non-coding RNA is filed under the name Volvox carteri. RNAcentral describes it as "long non-coding RNA (VCAR_LNC001116)". Lineage: Eukaryota; Viridiplantae; Chlorophyta; Chlorophyceae; Chlamydomonadales; Volvocaceae. The record is from RNAcentral.
GCAAGGGUGUAAAUACAGGCGAUCGUACGGCAGAGAUGAAGAUCGGAGCGUUUUGGAGCCGAGCGAAUACAGGCAAGUACUCUUAUUUACGGGCUUCCUAGACCAAUUUUUUAUUUUGUUGUGUGAUUUCGCUGCAAUCGAAAGAUGCUUAAUCAGUGUCUAGGUAUUUUUGCUGCUACGUCGCUAUGCCAUGUUAACCUGCAUAACUUCAUCUUACCGGAAGUAUGGCUCUUGUAUAUUUAAUGGAAGUUUAUGCGAUUGCAAUGUCACUUUCUAUUGCGAACCGACCCAGGGUCGACAUGCAAGGUCAUGCAGCUUUCCAUUACAAGUAGGCAUUGCUGCUGGCGACGCUUCACGUGCUUGGGGUAAUGGGUUUUCAAUGGACGUCCACACUGCAUGUAACUGCGCGGUGAAGAACAUUAAGCCCGGGCUACAUGCGCAGGGGUACACAGGGGUUUCCUAGGCUAUAUGUCACGCACGAUUUCUGAAGAAAUUCCCUUGACCAGCGCCACAUCGGCUUUGGAGCUUUACACGAUUACCGCCCAUUGGGUUUUAUGGGUGGUCAUUUCGACCUGAAACCCCAAGGAGAAAAGGCUGGCAUCGCUCUUUCGCCAGAAGUCAACAACCCUUCUCGUUAGUAGUGAUGAAGCUCCUUGUCUAGCCGAGGAUUGAUAUAAUGACGUCGUGUGCUGGUGGGACCUAACUCCGUCGAACAGUUUAAUUACUUAAUUACGAUUAUGCAUACGCUGACAUCAGCGCAAGACAAUUCCUCAUGCAUAUGCUGACAUCAGCGCAAGACAAUCGCGCAAAACACAGCAACUUCUCCCUCGGCACGUUUCAGUGCAGCGGUAAUAUUUACAUGAAUCUGCGCAUGCAAGCGCAAUCCUAGUUUCAUGAAUUCCCCCACUUGCGCGUGGGAAGGCCAAAAAGACAUUGCAACAAAAAACACAAUGGUUUGGAGAUUUUGACCCUGCGUUACGUUCCUGACGAUUAACCACAGUUAUCGAGCAACGCGCAAGCUUCGCACUCCAGCUCUAAGAAACCAUACAAACAGACGGCUUGAACCCGUCUUUUAAGUUUGAGCACAACCAAAGAGUAAAGACAAAACUCUCCAGCAGCCUUCCCCGGGCCAGCGACACAUCACCUCCCCGCUGAGUCCGCAUCUCAACAUGAACUCCAUUGAACAUCGUCAUACUAGUGCAUGGCUUCCCGCCCGUCAAAUGCCCCACCCACUACAAAUGCGCAAACAGCACACCGCGUGCAUACACUUAUGUGCGCACACACCCCGCUGCAAUUCAGUUACGCAGUGCAUACUAGACGUAGCUUUUUGAACAAUGAACGUGACCCGACUCCAUGGAAAUCCCUGACUUCCCUCUGGAACCAUCACAGUUGUGCCACGGCCUCGGCUGGGUGGCCCUCGCCUGCACCUGGCCCCACAUGCACACCAGUCGCCCCACCUAAGGCGGCAUUCUCGGGCUUCGGAUGAUGCGCGUCCCCGUGCGCGUGUGCCGCCGCAUGCACAUGUGAUGGAUCGCCAACAUGGGCCCCCAGUCCGGACGGGUCAACCACGCCACCCGAGUCACCGCCGACAAUAGACGCCGCGGCCGCCGGCGCCCCUGCCAGCAGCAGACCCAGUUGCUGUUGCAGAUCUUGCGGCGGCAGGUCACUUGGUACCGGCCCCGGUGGCACAACCGCAGUAGCAGACUUGAGGAGGCUGUCGAGGAACGGCGGCGCCAGGUGCUCGUUAUUCAUCGUCUGGAGCGCCAGCAGCGCCGCCUGGUUUGCAUCAGGAGUAGCCAGUCCACUCAGCAGUUGUUGUGGUAGCUGUGGUAGCUGGUUGAGGAGCGCGGUGAGCGC